UAGGCUUGACAUGCUGGGGAAACGCUCUGGAAACAGGGCGCCCUCUUCGGAGCUCCAGCACAGGUGCUGCAUGGCUGUCGUCAGCUCGUGUCGUGAGAUGUUGGGUUAAGUCCCGCAACGAGCGCAACCCCCGCCCCGUGUUGCUAACAGGCUGCAAAGCGCUGAGGACUCUCGGGGGACUGCCGGUGCCAAACCGGAGGAAGGUGGGGAUGACGUUCGUCUGAC
Molecule: unclassified non-coding RNA, 225 nt
Filed under: uncultured Gemmatimonadaceae bacterium
Lineage: Bacteria; Pseudomonadati; Gemmatimonadota; Gemmatimonadia; Gemmatimonadales; Gemmatimonadaceae
Description: contains 16S-23S intergenic spacer region
Rfam family: Bacterial small subunit ribosomal RNA
Source: RNAcentral